This 487-nucleotide ribosomal RNA is filed under the name uncultured bacterium. Its description in RNAcentral is "bacterial SSU rRNA". It matches the Rfam family "Bacterial small subunit ribosomal RNA", at positions 26 to 507 of the family's 1533-position model. The record is from RNAcentral.
AGGAUGAACGCUAGCGGGAGGCUUAACACAUGCAAGUCGAGGGGCAGCAUAGGGUAGCAAUACUCUGAUGGCGACCGGCGCACGGGUGAGUAACGCGUAUGCAACCUACCCUUUACCGGGGGAUAGCUCGGAGAAAUCCGGAUUAAUACCCCAUGACAUUCCGGGGGCGCAUGUUCCGGGAUUAAAACUACGGUGGUAAAGGAUGGGCAUGCGUAACAUUAGCUAGUUGGUGAGGUAACGGCUCACCAAGGCUACGAUGUUUAGGGGACCUGAGAGGGUGAUCCCCCACACUGGUACUGAGACACGGACCAGACUCCUACGGGAGGCAGCAGUGAGGAAUAUUGGUCAAUGGGCGCAAGCCUGAACCAGCCAUCCCGCGUGCAGGAAGAAGGCGCUAUGCGUUGUAAACUGCUUUUGCAGGGGAAGAAAACACCGGUCGUGACCGGGACUGACAGUACCCUGUGAAUAAGCAUCGGCUAACUCCGUG